This 451-nucleotide ribosomal RNA is filed under the name uncultured bacterium. RNAcentral's name for it is "bacterial SSU rRNA". It matches the Rfam family "Bacterial small subunit ribosomal RNA", at positions 917 to 1382 of the family's 1533-position model. The record is from RNAcentral.
GGGCCCGCACAAGCAGCGGAGCGUGUGGUUUAAUUCGAUGCAACGCGCAGAACCUUACCUCGACUUGACAUGCACCUGGUACCAAACUGAAAAGUGAGGGACUCGCAAGAGAGGGUGCACAGAUGCUGCAUGGCUGUCGUCAGCUCGUGCCGUGAGGUGUUGGGUUAAGUCCCGCAACGAGCGCAACCCUUGUCCUUAGUUGCCAUCUCUAAGGAGACCGCCGGUCUAAACCGGAGGAAGGUGGGGAUGAAGUCAAGUCAGCACGGCUCUUACGUCGAGGGCUACACACACGCUACAAUGGCCGGUACAACGGGCUGCGAAGGGGCGACCUGAAGCUAAUCCCACCAAAGCCGGUCUCAGUUCGGAUCGCAGGCUGCAACUCGCCUGCGUGAAGUCGGAGUUGCUAGUAACUGCUGGUCAGCACACAGCAGUGAAUACGUUCCCGGGCCUU